RNAcentral lists this long non-coding RNA (245 nucleotides) under Mytilus galloprovincialis (Mediterranean mussel). Lineage: Eukaryota; Metazoa; Mollusca; Bivalvia; Mytilida; Mytilidae. The record is from RNAcentral.
CUGACAGCAUUUGAUAAAUUAUCCUGAUAAUUUAAUCUCUAGUAUGUAUGCACUAGAUAUGACGACACGAAACAAUGUCCCGCAUACUGAUUAAUUCAAAGGGAAGUAAUCACCGGGAAAAGAAUGAUGCUCAUUCCAUCACCCCCAGAUUGUAGUGGGGUUCAUGUUGUGUUUUGCAUACUGUUGUCUAUUUCUCUUUUUUGUAGUCAUGAUGUCAACUCAUUUCGACUUAUGAGCUUUAAUGU